Molecule: small nucleolar RNA, 107 nt
Organism: Lactuca sativa (garden lettuce)
Lineage: Eukaryota; Viridiplantae; Streptophyta; Magnoliopsida; Asterales; Asteraceae
Source: RefSeq, a predicted model, not a curated record
AAGUCAUGUUGAGAACAAUUCCUUAACAACCCCUUGUAGCGCUCUCAGGCCUUGUAAAGUGGCUCCCCUGGGUUUUGCUCAAAAUUUGCUAUUGCCUUCUUGAGUUU